GGCCAGACUCCUACGGGAGGCAGCAGUGAGGAAUAUUGGUCAAUGGGCGCGAGCCUGAACCAGCCAAGUCGCGUGAGGGAUGACGGCCCUACGGGUUGUAAACCUCUUUUGUCGGGGAGCAAAUUCCGUUACGUGUAACGGAGUCGAGAGUACCCGAAGAAAAAGCAUCGGCUAACUCCGUGCCAGCAGCCGCGGUAAUACGGAGGAUGCGAGCGUUAUCCGGAUUUAUUGGGUUUAAAGGGUGCGCAGGCGGAGGUGCAAGUCAGCGGUCAAAUUGCGGGGCUCAACCCCGUACUGCCGUUGAAACUGCAUCCCUUGAGUGCGCGAGAAGUAUGCGGAAUGCGUGGUGUAGCGGUGAAAUGCAUAGAUAUCACGCAGAACUCCGAUUGCGAAGGCAGCAUACCGGCGCGCAACUGACGCUCAUGCACGAAAGCGUGGGUAUCGAACAGGAUUAGAUACCCGGGUAC
Molecule: ribosomal RNA, 467 nt
Filed under: uncultured bacterium
Lineage: Bacteria
Description: bacterial SSU rRNA
Rfam family: Bacterial small subunit ribosomal RNA
Source: RNAcentral